UAACAGAGAGUAGCUUGCUACUUUGCUGACGAGCGGCGGACGGGUGAGUAAUGCUUGGGAACAUGCCUUGAGGUGGGGGACAACAGUUGGAAACGACUGCUAAUACCGCAUAAUGUCUACGGACCAAAGGGGGCUUCGGCUCUCGCCUUUAGAUUGGCCCAAGUGGGAUUAGCUAGUUGGUGAGGUAAUGGCUCACCAAGGCGACGAUCCCUAGCUGGUUUGAGAGGAUGAUCAGCCACACUGGGACUGAGACACGGCCCAGACUCCUACGGGAGGCAGCAGUGGGGAAUAUUGCACAAUGGGCGCAAGCCUGAUGCAGCCAUGCCGCGUGUGUGAAGAAGGCCUUCGGGUUGUAAAGCACUUUCAGUCAGGAGGAAAGGUUAACGGUUAAUACCCGUUAGCUGUGACGUUACUGACAGAAGAAGCACCGGCUAACUCCGUGCCAGCAGCCGCGGUAAUACGGAGGGUGCGAGCGUUAAUCGGAAUUACUGGGCGUAAAGCGUACGCAGGCGGUUUGUUAAGCGAGAUGUGAAAGCCCCGGGCUCAACCUGGGAACUGCAUUUCGAACUGGCAAACUAGAGUGUGAUAGAGGGUGGUAGAAUUUCAGGUGUAGCGGUGAAAUGCGUAGAGAUCUGAAGGAAUACCGAUGGCGAAGGCAGCCACCUGGGUCAACACUGACGCUCAUGUACGAAAGCGUGGGGAGCAAACGGGAUUA
Molecule: ribosomal RNA, 715 nt
Filed under: gamma proteobacterium GM5
Lineage: Bacteria; Pseudomonadati; Pseudomonadota; Gammaproteobacteria
Description: bacterial SSU rRNA
Rfam family: Bacterial small subunit ribosomal RNA
Source: RNAcentral